This 392-nucleotide ribosomal RNA is filed under the name uncultured bacterium. RNAcentral describes it as "partial 16S ribosomal RNA". It matches the Rfam family "Bacterial small subunit ribosomal RNA", at positions 523 to 918 of the family's 1533-position model. The record is from RNAcentral.
ACACGUAGGGGCCUGACGUUGUUCGGAAUCAUUGGGCGUAAAGGGCGCGCAGGCGGCCGUCCAAGUCCGGUGUUAAAUGGUCGGGCUCAACCCGAUCAUGCGCUGGAAACUGGGCGGCUGGAGUCCCGGAGGGGAUGCCGGAAUUCCAGGUGUAGGGGUGAAAUCUGUAGAUAUCUGGAAGAACACCGAUGGCGAAGGCAGGCAGCUGGCCGGAGACUGACGCUGAGGCGCGAAGGCGCGGGGAGCGAACAGGUUUAGAUACCCUGGUAGUCCGCGCAGUAAACGAUGCGCACCAGGUGUCGGGCGGCAGCGCCCGGUACCGGAGCAAACGCGAUGAGUGCGCCGCCUGGGGAGUAUGCCCGCAAGGGUGAAACUCAAAUGAAUUGACGGGG